RNAcentral lists this small RNA (28 nucleotides) under Bombyx mori (domestic silkworm). RNAcentral's name for it is "ovarian small RNA-10372". The record is from RNAcentral. Lineage: Eukaryota; Metazoa; Arthropoda; Insecta; Lepidoptera; Bombycidae.
AACCUUGAAUCUUGUCACUCCUGUGCGA